AGUGGUUGGAAAACAAAGCACACUGUGAGGGGGUUUCUUAAUGCGGCUAGCAGGAUAGUCCCUAGUGCACGUUCCCUUUGCAAGGGAGUUCUUCUAGCCAGAGCAGACAGGAGGCGUUGUUGAGACACACCCGGCCAAAACUGCGUGAUGACCUAUCGCUCUACAAAGGAGUACCGAUUUAAAUGUUUAUGUAAUUGAUCUUAUUUGUCAUUCACUUAUAUAUAAAUGUGUCUUACAUGUCUCUAUUUCAUGUCCAUGGGAAGAGGAGGACGAGGAGGAGGAGGUGCAACACCAUGAGGAAGAGGUUGCAGCCAUAGAUGUCGGGGUGCAGGGCCAUGAGGAGGAGGAGGUCGCAGACAUAGAUGAUGAGGCAAAUGAUGAUACCAUUGAGGCUCCUGCCUUUCGACAGAGGGGCACUCGGAAGGGCCACUUUAUCCUACCCCCGUCAGCGCUUGCACAAUCAGAAGCCAAUGGGAUGACACGUCUUUCGAUGGGCAUGGUCACCAUAGACAGAUUAAUCAAGUUUUAGGUAACCUCUGUCGUCUAUAUAAUCCAGGAAUUGUGACUGACUCGAAAGGUGUAGUGGUUCCUUGCACUAGCUGGUCGCACUUCGCACUAGCUCCACAUGCUACAUAUGGAAAAGCUUAGGGCGCCGUCAAGCGCGACUUUUGGAGACGCUAUCGUGUGGAACCUAAGGCUCAGGAGCAUGCAG
Zea mays is the source of this 712-nucleotide long non-coding RNA. RefSeq lists it as uncharacterized. The transcript is spliced from 3 exons. Lineage: Eukaryota; Viridiplantae; Streptophyta; Magnoliopsida; Poales; Poaceae. The record is from RefSeq and is a predicted model, not a curated record.